This 788-nucleotide long non-coding RNA is filed under the name Homo sapiens (human). RNAcentral's name for it is "HSALNT0406427". The record is from RNAcentral. Lineage: Eukaryota; Metazoa; Chordata; Mammalia; Primates; Hominidae.
GGGAGGCAGUCCAGGCACCCGCCUGGCCUGGCUCCAGGCUUCGGCCACAGUCUUCCACCAGGAUGUGACUGAAGGCCUGGCCGAGGUCUGCAGGCCACCUGGAGGGCACCUGGAGAGCCAGGAGCGUGCUGUGAGCUCCCCGAGGACGACGCCCCCUCUGCUUACACCACCUGCAGGCGCUCCAGCCCCGGCACUGGAAGGCCUUGGCCACCGACACAGCAGCCUCAUCUUCUGGCUGGAUAAACUCACCUCAGAGCCAAGCGGCCCCGGAGAAGCUGCCUCUGUGGCCCGGUCUGCAGGGUGGAGUUACCGUGGGUCCCUCGCAUCAGACAUCUGCCUGCGGACCAGACACCUGCUCUCCUCCAAGGAGCCUCAAUGUCCAGAGAAGGGAUCCUGCGGUGACCGAGGGACAGGCCUGUCUUCUGGGUCACCACAUCUUGGCAUUUAUUAUUUGCCCCCAGGAAGGUCUGAAGGAUUUUACUUUUAAAAACCAUAGUCAGCCGGGCGCGGUGGCUAACGCCUGUAAUCCCAGCACUUAGGGAGGCCGAGGCGGGUGGAUCACCUGAGGUCAGGAGUUCAAGAACAAUCUGACCAACAUGCAGAAACCCUGUCUCUACUAAUACUACAAAAUUAGCCAGGUGUGGUGGUGGGCGCCCGUAAUCCCAGCUACUUGGGGGGCUGAGGCAGGAGAAUUGCUUGAACCUGCGGGGUGGAGGUUGCAGUGAGCUGAGAUCACACCAUUGCACUCCAGCCUGGGCAACAAGAGCGAAACUCUGUCUCAAAAAAAU